This 209-nucleotide long non-coding RNA is filed under the name Pelobates cultripes (western spadefoot toad). The record is from RNAcentral. Lineage: Eukaryota; Metazoa; Chordata; Amphibia; Anura; Pelobatidae.
GGUACAAUGAGAAAAAUGACUGGGACAUAGCAAUACCAGGGUACUCUUUAUAUAGGGAAGGCAAGAAAGGGGGAGGGGUGGCCUUGUAUGUGAAGGAUAGCAUAAAAUCUAGCCUAAUAAAAGUUAGUGAGGCAAACAUAGAGUCCGUUUGGGCUACGUUAGAAUUUGGUAAUCACACAGUAACUCGUGUAGGUGUGAUUUAUAGGCCC